GUAAAAUGAUUUUUGACUUAUGUUGGAUAGCUUGGCACUCGGUAUCGAAGAAGGGCGUAGUAACUGACGAUAUACUUGAGGGAACAAGAAACAUGUUUUGAUCUCAAGAUUCCCGAAUAGGGCAACCUAUAAUGAUCUCUUAAGAAUUUUUAUUAAGAGUAUUGACAAUUGGCGAACUGAAACAUCUUAGUACCCAUAGUAAUAAAACAAACGUGAUUUCCUUAUUAGCGGCGAGCUAAAAGGAAUUAGUCUAAACCUUUUUGGGGGUUGUGGGAGUAUCUUGUAUUUUUCUUAAGCGUUUUUGAAUUCAUUGAAUUUGAGACCAUAGUAGGUGAAAGUCCUGUAAAAAGCAUCUUAAGAUUUAAUUGUUUAUUUCCCAAGUAGCACAGAGCACGUGGAAUUCUGUGUGAAUCAGCGAGGACCACCUUGUAAGACUAAAACCGUCCGAGUGACCGAUAGUGAAGUAGUACCGUGAGGGAAAUGUUAAAAAGAACCCUGAGAAGGGAGUGAAAUAGAUCAUGAAAGCAUAAGUUUACAAGCAAUAGGCGAUUUUUAGAAUUAACUGUGUACCUGUUGAAGAAUGGGCCGGCGACUUAUGAAUAGUGGCUUGGUUAAGGUAAAUUUUUCCGGAGCCGUAGUGAAGUCGAGUUUGAAUAAAGCAAAUUGUCACUAUUUAUAGACCCGAACCCGGGUGAUCUAAUCAUGACCAGGUUGAAGUUUUGGUAAAACAAAUUGGAGGACCGAACUCACCAAUGUUGAAAAAUUGGGAGAUGAGUUGUGAUUAGGGGAGAAAUUCCAAUCGAACCCGGAGUUAGCUGGAUCUCUUCGAAAUGCGUUGAGGCGCAGCGAUUAAUUAUGAACUUCUUAGGGGUAAAGCACUGUUUCGGCGAGGGCUGCGAAAGUUAGUACCAAGUUGUGGCAAACUCAAAAUACUAAGAAAAUAAUUUCAAUUAGUCAGUGAGACAUAGGGGGAUAAGCUUCUAGCGUCAAGAGGGAAACAGCCCAGAUCAUCAGCUAAGGUCCCUAAAUAAUAACUAAGUGAUAAAGGAUGUAAAUCGACAUAGACAACCAGGAGGUUGGCCUAGAAGCAGCAAUUUCCUUUAAAAAGUGCGUAAUAGCUUACUGGUUAAGUCUUUUUGCGCCGAAAAUGAACGGGGCUAAGUUAUUUACCGAAGCUAUGAGAUUUAUCGGUAGAGGAGCGUUCUGUUUUAGUGAGAAGCAAAAAUGGAAGUUUUUGUGGACUAUUCAGAAGUGAGAAUGUCGGCUUAAGUAACGAAAACAUCAGUGGAAAUCUGAUGCCCCGAAAACUCGAGGUUUCCUUUUCAAGGUUCGUCCAAAAAGGGUUAGUCAGGUCCUAAAAUGAGGUUUAAAAACGUAGUUGAUGGAAAACAGGUUAAUAUUCCUGUACAAUAUUUAAUGUUUAAUAGGGACGAAGGAGGCUAUACAAACCAGAUUUUGGUUGUUUUGGUUUAAGUUUUCAAGGUGUUGAGAGAUAUAUAAAAAUAUCUUGAGUUGAGAAACGAAUAAGAAUAUGCUAUGGUAUAUGAACUUGUAGAUGUCAUACUUCCAAGAAAAUCUUUGAUUACUUUAUUUAAAUGUUCCUGUACCAAACCGACACAGGUGAGUUUGUAGAAUAUACUAAGGGGCGCGAGGUAACUGUUUUUAAGGAACUCGGCAAAAUUUCUCUGUAACUUCGGGAUAAAGAGAGCCUUUAAUAGGCCGCAGUGAAUUCGUCCAAGCGACUGUUUACCAAAAACACAGGUCUUUGCUAAGUUGAAAAACUAUGUAUAAGGGCCGACGCCUGCCCAGUGCUUGAAGGUUAAAGAAAUUGGUGAACUUUUUAAGUGUAGCUAGUGACUGAAGCCCUAGUGAACGGCAGUUCUAACUAUGAGAAUUCGAAGGUAGCGAAAUUCCUUGUCGGGUAAGUUCCGACCCGCACGAAAGGCGUAACGAUUUGGAUACUGUCUCAAAAACAGACUCGGUGAAAUAGAAUUAAACGUGAAGAUGCGUUUUACUUGCACUUGGACAGAAAGACCCUAUGAAGCUUUACUGUACCUUGAAAUUGAAUUUGGGCAUCUUUUGCGCAGAAUAGGUGGGAAGCAAAGAUCCUCUUUUUCGGAAGAUGGGGAGCUAACAGUGAGAUACCACUCUAAAGACGUUAGAAUUCUAAUAAUAUUUUGGUAAUCAGAUAUUUGACAUUUUCAGGGGGGCAGUUUUACUGGGGCGGUAGCCUCCUAAAGAGUAACGGAGGCGUACAAAGGUUUUUUCAAUCUAAACGGAAACUAGUUGUAGAGUAUAAAGAUAUAAGAAAGCUUGACUGUAAGACUUAGAAGUCAAACAGAGACGAAAGUCGGUCUUAGUGAUCCGACGGUUGUGUGUGGAAAUGCCGUCGCUUAACCGAUAAAAGUUACUCUAGGGAUAACAGGCUGAUCUCCCCCAAGAGUUCACAUCGACGGGGAGGUUUGGCACCUCGAUGUCGGCUCAUCGCAACCUGGGGCGGAAGUACGUCCCAAGGGUUGGGCUGUUCGCCCAUUAAAGCGGUACGUGAGCUGGGUUCAGAACGUCGAGAGACAGUUCGGUCCAUAUCCGGUGUGAGCGUUAGAGUAUUGAGGGGAAUUUUUCCUAGUACGAGAGGACCGGAAAGAACAUACCACUGAUCUACCAGUUUUAUUUACCUAAAGAAUACGCUGGGUAGUUACGUAUGGAGUGGAUAACUGCUGAAAGCAUAUAAGUAAGAAGCCCACCUCGAGAUUAUUGCUCUUUAUUUAAGGUCAUGACUAGACUAGUCGUUAUAUAGGUAUUCGGUGUACGAGUAGCAAUACUUUUAGCCAAGAUAUACUAAUAGAUCGAAAAUUUUACCCA
RNAcentral lists this ribosomal RNA (2862 nucleotides) under Euglenaformis proxima. Its description in RNAcentral is "bacterial LSU rRNA". It matches the Rfam family "Bacterial large subunit ribosomal RNA". The record is from RNAcentral. Lineage: Eukaryota; Euglenozoa; Euglenophyceae; Euglenales; Euglenaceae.